GGAGGGUAGCAAAUUAUAUUAUAGAACACGCAAUACAUUAUUCCAUUUAUUAAUUUGAUACAACAAUCAAAGUAUGAUGGAAGCAGUAUCAAAGCAUGCAAGCAGAUCUAGAUAAUGGAUACACUAGAAGUGCCUCAAUGCAUGGCGCGGUUUGUAUCGAACUCGUUCGCAUUAUUUAGUUUACUCAAGCUUUGUAUCCAGUAGAGAUGAAGAGCCAGAAUCACAGGACAGGCUAUCCCUGGGUCGGGACCCGGUCUACGAUGAAGUUGGAACCAACGUCAAGGAAGCACCAGACGAUGACGCGGUCAAGCUCUUCAAUUGGUGGCUCCGGAUCAGAACCCACUAUCAUGUUAAUGACACGCAGGUCCGGUCGAUCCUGUUGGAUAACUUUAUCGGCGUCUUCACAAUGCUUGUGCAACAAGUCUGGCCACGAUUGCCGCUCCGGAAUACCCGACAUAGCUCUCCCGAAUCCGCUGCGAAUUAACAAGAGUAAAAGCAAUUGAACAACACAUGCAGCCGAGAUCAGUAGAGACAGGAUUCAAUUCUUCUCCUAAAAAAAUGUUGGCAUUAACUUCAUACAUAGGUUUCGGAACUAUGCUAACAUCGUACAUGAUGAAAGUAUACCUAUACCAAGUAAAAAAGGUGCUUGAUCGGAAAGCACUAUUAUGAGGUUAAUAUAAAACACCUGCAAACGAGCCUGCAGUAUACAGGGAGAAGAAAGGGCAAAGUUGAAUCAGGAGCUGGCUGCCCUACUGCG
RNAcentral lists this long non-coding RNA (757 nucleotides) under Setaria italica (foxtail millet). Its description in RNAcentral is "long non-coding RNA (SITA_LNC005815)". The record is from RNAcentral. Lineage: Eukaryota; Viridiplantae; Streptophyta; Magnoliopsida; Poales; Poaceae.